GCUCCGCGAGCCAUGGACGACCCCUGCUCGCCGCAGCCCGACUACCCGAGCACCCCUCCGCACAAGACCUUCCGCAAGCUGCGCCUGUUCGACACGCCGCACACUCCCAAGGUAAUGGAGGGGGCGGAGGAGCCGGCUCCAGGGCCUUUAAAAAAAAAGGCCGCGGCGCUGCAGCCCUGCGCGCCACUGCCCGGGUUCGGUUACAUAACCGCCCCGCCGCACCCCGCUCGCUGUCCUGCGCCGCCAC
This 247-nucleotide long non-coding RNA is filed under the name Mus musculus (house mouse). RNAcentral describes it as "long non-coding RNA chr7:110122814-110123061". Lineage: Eukaryota; Metazoa; Chordata; Mammalia; Rodentia; Muridae. The record is from RNAcentral.